UUUGAUCCUGGCUCAGAACGAACGCUGGCGGCAUGCUUAACACAUGCAAGUCGAACGAGAUCUUCGGNUCUAGUGGCGCACGGGUGCGUAACACGUGGGAAUCUACCUAAAGGUUCAGNAUAACAGUUAGAGAUGACUGCUAAUACUGGAUAAUGACUUCGGUCCAAAGAUUUAUUGCCUUUAGAUGAGCCCGCGCAAGNUUAGCUAGUUGGUGAGGUAAAAGCUCACCAAGGCGACGNUCUUUAGCUGGUCUGAGAGGAUGAUCAGCCACACUGGGACUGAGACACGGCCCAGNCUNCUACGGGAGGCAGCAGUGGGGAAUAUUGGACAAUGGGCGAAAGCCUGAUCCAGCAAUGCCGCGUGAGUGAUGAAGGCCUUAGGGUUGUAAAGCUCUUUUACUAGGGAUGAUAAUGACAGUACCUAGAGAAUAAGCUCCGGCUAACUCCGUGCCAGCAGCCGCGGUAAUAAGGG
Molecule: ribosomal RNA, 471 nt
Filed under: uncultured Alphaproteobacteria bacterium
Lineage: Bacteria; Pseudomonadati; Pseudomonadota; Alphaproteobacteria
Description: bacterial SSU rRNA
Rfam family: Bacterial small subunit ribosomal RNA
Source: RNAcentral